This 1524-nucleotide ribosomal RNA is filed under the name Mycoplasma anserisalpingitidis. Its description in RNAcentral is "16S ribosomal RNA". It matches the Rfam family "Bacterial small subunit ribosomal RNA". The record is from RNAcentral. Lineage: Bacteria; Bacillati; Mycoplasmatota; Mollicutes; Mycoplasmatales; Mycoplasmataceae.
ACAUGACAGUCAAUUUUUUCGAGAGUUUGAUCCUGGCUCAGGAUGAACGCUGGCUGUGUGCCUAAUACAUGCAUGUCGAGCGGAGUUCUUCGGAACUUAGCGGCGAAUGGGUGAGUAACACGUACUUAACAUGCCCUCUAGAUUGGAAUAACGAUUAGAAAUGAUCGCUAAUGCCGGAUACUUAUAUCUUUCGCAUGAAGGAUAUAUAAAAGGAGCGUUUGCUUCGCUAGAGGAUUGGGGUGCGUAACAUUAGCUAGUUGGUAGGGUAAUGGCCUACCAAGGCUAUGAUGUUUAGCGGGGUUGAGAGACUGAUCCGCCACACUGGGACUGAGAUACGGCCCAGACUCCUACGGGAGGCAGUAGUAGGGAAUUUUCCACAAUGGACGAAAGUCUGAUGGAGCGACACAGCGUGCAGGAUGACGGCCUUCGGGUUGUAAACUGCUGUUAUAAGGGAAGAAAAAAUAAAGUAGGAAAUGACUUUAUCUUGACGGUACCUUGUCAGAAAGCAACGGCUAACUAUGUGCCAGCAGCCGCGGUAAUACAUAGGUUGCAAGCGUUAUCCGGAAUUAUUGGGCGUAAAGCGUCUGUAGGUUGUUUGUUAAGUCUGACGUGAAAACUUGGGGCUCAACCCCAAAUUGCGUUGGAUACUGGCAAACUAGAGUUAUGAAGAGGUUAGCGGAAUUCCUUGUGAAGCGGUGAAAUGCGUAGAUAUAAGGAAGAACACCAACUUGGCGAAGGCAGCUAACUGGGCAUACACUGACACUGAGAGACGAAAGCGUGGGGAGCAAACAGGAUUAGAUACCCUGGUAGUCCACGCUGUAAACGAUGAUGAUUAGCUGAUGGGGAACUCAUCGGCACAGCUAACGCAUUAAAUCAUCCGCCUGAGUAGUAUGCUCGCAAGAGUGAAACUUAAAGGAAUUGACGGGGAUCCGCACAAGCGGUGGAGCAUGUGGUUUAAUUUGAAGAUACGCGUAGAACCUUACCCACUCUUGACAUCUUCCGCAAAGCUAUAGAGAUAUAGUGGAGGCUAACGGAAUGACAGAUGGUGCAUGGUUGUCGUCAGCUCGUGUCGUGAGAUGUUCGGUUAAGUCCUGCAACGAGCGCAACCCUUGUCCUUAGUUAAAUGUUCUAAGGAGACUGCCCGAGUAAUUGGGAGGAAGGUGGGGACGACGUCAAAUCAUCAUGCCUCUUACGAGGGGGGCAACACACGUGCUACAAUGGACGGUACAAAGAGACGCAAUACGGCGACGUGGAGCAAAUCUCAAAAAACCGUUCUCAGUUCGGAUUGUAGUCUGCAACUCGACUACAUGAAGUCGGAAUCGCUAGUAAUCGUAGAUCAGCUACGCUACGGUGAAUACGUUCUCGGGUCUUGUACACACCGCCCGUCACACCAUGGGAGCUGGUAAUGCCCGAAGUCGGUUUUGUUAACUACGGAGACAACUGCCUAAGGCAGGACUGGUGACUGGGGUGAAGUCGUAACAAGGUAUCCCUACGAGAACGUGGGGAUGGAUUACCUCCUUUCUA